Long non-coding RNA from Silurus meridionalis, 1101 nucleotides. RefSeq lists it as uncharacterized. The record is from RefSeq and is a predicted model, not a curated record. The transcript is spliced from 2 exons. Lineage: Eukaryota; Metazoa; Chordata; Actinopteri; Siluriformes; Siluridae.
UUUAGUGCAGAGGAGAAACAUGGCUGCUUCAGGAUUUCAACUCACAACCUUAAUAUCAGAAGUCCAGCAUCUUAAGCACUGAGCUUUCACUACCCUGAAGAGGAUGUUGAAACAGAACAGAAAGGAAGCUUUUUCAUGCAUCACGUCUAAACCAUACCUCACUUCUUCUAACAAUUGUUACACUAAAAUGCUGUCCUGCUUCAUUCCAGCACUGGCUCUCUUGCGAAUGUGACUGGUUGAAUGUCUUUAAAAUGAAGACAAAUAGGCAUGCAUAAAUAAUGGGUGCAUUUUAAAUCUGAAGACACGCCCCCUGCUGUGGAGUUGCGCUUUGACAUUGAGCACACCUGUGCCACGUGAUUAUGUCGGCGUGUUUGUGGCUUUAUAAAAAGCACAGUUGAGUGGGACGCUUUGAUUCCUUUCUUAUCUGUAGGUUGGGUGGCUAGAAAAGGUAUUUAUUCUUCUACUGUCCUGGUGCUUUCCCCUGGUGCGGCCAAAGAGCGCUAGCUGCUGUUUCCUGCUGUUUAGCUGCUGUUUUGUAUAUGUUUUGUAUAUGCUUGUACACACUGAUUCAUAAACCCUGAAUUAGCUUGUUGGGUUACAGGUUGGACCAAGUGGACGUCGCAGCUGUAAACCGCUGGAUUACUGAGUGUUUUAAAAGAUUAUCCUGCGCAGCGGUUCUGUGCUAUGUGUGAGUAAGGACUUGGAUAUGUAUCUCCUGUGCAGGUGUAUUACAUUAACACGCUUGGUAUUUUUGCUCCGUGAGCCGCUUGGACGCUUUUUAAAUAUUAAUCGGGAGUUAAUUGUUUUUCUCUUUGUAACAUGUGUAUAAGUGUAAGUACUAUUUCCACAUGUAACUAUCUGAGCUGUGAUUUUUGAGACUUAAACAGAAGGGGAGUUUGUUUGUGUGUUUCGGGUUUAUUUUUGGUUUAUUCUUGUUUUUUAAGAAUUAUGCACUGAUUUGCGGUGUGCUCUGUCCCUUCUGUUACAGAGAGGAUGUAAUCUAGUCUCUCUGGUUGUGGGUAAAUAACUGGUAAGCUGUAAAUGGUAUUUUAAAAUAUUUAAGCAUUCUUUUGUUUAAUAAAUUUGUACUAUUUGUGUAAA